Molecule: transfer RNA, 72 nt
Filed under: Ictidomys tridecemlineatus (thirteen-lined ground squirrel)
Lineage: Eukaryota; Metazoa; Chordata; Mammalia; Rodentia; Sciuridae
Description: Spermophilus tridecemlineatus (thirteen-lined ground squirrel) tRNA
Rfam family: tRNA
About the family: Transfer RNA (tRNA) molecules are approximately 80 nucleotides in length. Their secondary structure includes four short double-helical elements and three loops (D, anti-codon, and T loops).
Source: Rfam by way of RNAcentral
GGGGACGUGGCUCGGUUGGCAGAGCACUUGCCUCCCAUGCACAAGGCCCUGGGCUCAACCCCAGCACCCCCG